CCUACGGGUGGCUGCAGUGGGGAAUAUUGCACAAUGGGGGAAACCCUGAUGCAGCGACGCCGCGUGAGUGAAGAAGUAAUUCGUUACGUAAAGCUCUAUCAGCAGGGAAGAAAAUGACGGUACCUGAGUAAGAAGCCCCGGCUAACUACGUGCCAGCAGCCGCGGUAAUACGUAGGGGGCAAGCGUUAUCCGGAUUUACUGGGUGUAAAGGGAGCGUAGACGGUGCGCCAAGUCUGGAGUGAAAACCCAAAGCUCAACUAUGGGAAUGCUUUAGAAACUGCUCAGCUAGAGUGCAGGAGAGGCAAGUGGAAUGCUUAGUGUAGCGGUGAAAUGCGUAGAUAUUAGGAGGAACACCAGUGGCGAAGGCGGCUUGCUGGACUGUAACUGACACUGAGGCUCGAAAGCGUGGGGAGCAAACAGGAUUAGAUACCCCAGUAGUC
Molecule: ribosomal RNA, 440 nt
Filed under: uncultured bacterium
Lineage: Bacteria
Description: partial 16S ribosomal RNA
Rfam family: Bacterial small subunit ribosomal RNA
Source: RNAcentral